GAGACACGCUGGCGGCGUGGAUUAGGCAUGCAAGUCGAACGGUAGGAUCCUUUCGGGGAUCUGAGAGUGGCGAACGGGUGAGUAACACGUAGGUGAUCUACCCUCAAGACGGGGACAACCCAGGGAAACUUGGGCUAAUACCGGAUGUGAGCUAUCGCGAGAUAGUUUGAAAGGUGGCUUCGGCUGCCGCUUGGGGAUGAGCCUGCGUCCUAUUAGCUAGUUGGUGAGGUAACGGCUCACCGAGGCAGUGAUAGGUAGGCGGCCUUAACGGGUGGUCGCCCACACUGGGAUUGAGAUACGGCCCAGACUCCUACGGGAGGCAGCAGUCGAGAAUAGUCUACAAUGGUCGAAAGACUGAUAGUGCGACGCCGCGUGAACGAAGAAGCCCUUCGGGGUGUAAAGUUCUUUUAUAUGUGAGCAGUGACACCCAUAUUAAUAGUAUGGGUGUAGAGAUAUUAGCAUAUGAAUAAGCAACGGCUAACUCCGUG
RNAcentral lists this ribosomal RNA (488 nucleotides) under uncultured bacterium. RNAcentral's name for it is "bacterial SSU rRNA". It matches the Rfam family "Bacterial small subunit ribosomal RNA", at positions 33 to 507 of the family's 1533-position model. The record is from RNAcentral.